GCCGCCUCUCUCACUCUCUAGUCUGCAGACUGCAGUUAAAGAAGAGAGAAGAAGAAGAAGCCGUCUCUAACUCCUCACUCUACAAUCAUUACUCAAAAACCACCAGGGUGAUAGUAGGCGUGGCUUCCCUGCAACCUACUCUACUAUAUCAACAACAUAACAACAUAUGAACACAUAAAUAAAUCAAGGGACACAUUGCAAAGGAUGUAAAUAAUGGAUCACAAAUAUUAUUAUUACAAAACUACAUUAUUAUAUUUAAUUUUCCUUAAAAACAUGAAUUUUAUAGAUAUUUUUAAGUUGAUAAUCAUGAAAGGUUUUAAAUAUGCAUUUAAUAUGUGAAAACAUUUGCAUUGGAAACUGAAGAGUGAAUCAGACAGCUUUUGAAGAAUGGAAUAAAUAUAGUAUAUUGUAAUAGAAUAGUGAUUUUUUUAUAAAGCCUAUGCAAAUAUAACAGAAAUAGGCUGCAACCUUAUAGAGAAUUAUAAGUGCAUACAAAACUAAUCACAAAUAAGAUCCGCAUUAACCAAACUGACUUUUACAAUAAGAUAAUAAAAAUUAAGCUAAUAUACUGGCAAAAUUUCAUGAUAUUUUCCGCCCAAAUAUGGGCCAAGUGGCACUUCUCUAAAUUUUCCAAACAAGCUCCCCACGAUUAUAGAUUUCAUCAUUAAUUUAAGUCUUCAUAAUAACUGAAGUUGAACAAAACAAGUUUCAAGUUUCAACAUUAAUAUUAUGAUCUGUUAGUCAGUUUUCUAUAUUGAGACUAUUAUUAUUUGCUUUUUUUCACUUUGUAGACUAAUCAAUAAUUACUCUAUUAUACUUAGCAUUCCUUA
Salvia splendens (bonfire salvia) is the source of this 830-nucleotide long non-coding RNA. RefSeq lists it as uncharacterized. NCBI's taxonomy places the organism in Eukaryota, Viridiplantae, Streptophyta, Magnoliopsida, Lamiales, Lamiaceae. The record is from RefSeq and is a predicted model, not a curated record. The transcript has 2 exons.